ACUCCCAAACCUUUUUACUUUUCCCUCAAAACUUUUACUCCUUCCCACUUUCCCCCCAAAACUUUUACUCCCCUCCCCUCCGAACCCCCCAAUCUACCCAAAAUCCAUUUCCCACCAAAAUUUUACUCUCCCAUUUAUUUUUUUUCAAAAUUUUACUCCCAAAAACCCUCAAAACCUUUUAUUUUCCCCCAAAAUUUUUACUCCCUCCCACUUUUCCCCUAAAACUUUUAUUCCCUUCCUAUCCCACCUCCCAUCUAUCCCAAACCCUCCCCCCUCCAAUUUUUUUU
RNAcentral lists this long non-coding RNA (287 nucleotides) under Gossypium barbadense (sea-island cotton). RNAcentral describes it as "long non-coding RNA (GBAR_LNC019001)". Lineage: Eukaryota; Viridiplantae; Streptophyta; Magnoliopsida; Malvales; Malvaceae. The record is from RNAcentral.